CAACUAUGUUAAACGCGUGAAACAAACAUAAGAAAUACAUUUUAAUUAAGGCAACCCCCUGCUGCAAGUAUAUUGCUACCGCUAAUAAAUCAUAUUGCAUUAUGACUUAUGCAAAAAUUGUCUGGAAUUUAUUUUAUGCCCGGGAAUAAAUCAAUGAUAAAAAUGGCUUAAACCGACUUACGGCUGCCAAUGAAUUUGGAGGGAAGAAUUAAUUAUAGCCGAAUAGCAGGAAAGCAGAAUCAUCAAUCGUUUGAGCGUCCAUUUGAUGUAAUAGAGUUUGAAUAAGUUAUCUUAGCUGUGAUUGUGAUCAUGGCAUAAAAGCAAUUGUUCGCCACACUUCUAAAUAGAAGACAAACGUCAUUUUGGCAUAUAAUAAUGGAUAAUAGGAUGGUAGAUUGGGAUGUGUAUUAACUCGUUUAAACACAUAAUAUUGAUAUAUUGUUGUAAGUAAAGAGAACGGAACAAGCAAAUCGAUAUGAUAUGUCUAUCCAUAUUUACCACUUGUUGUUAGUUGUCUAUCUCUAGAUAAUUACUUUAAAGGUAAAUCGUCGUUUCGAUAUCUCCCAUUUAACCGAAAUUUUUUAUGUAAUGCACUUGUUGGUUGAAAUAAUUCAUUAUUAUGCGUAUGUA
Molecule: long non-coding RNA, 630 nt
Organism: Xenia sp. Carnegie-2017
Lineage: Eukaryota; Metazoa; Cnidaria; Anthozoa; Malacalcyonacea; Xeniidae
Exons: 2
Source: RefSeq, a predicted model, not a curated record